This 498-nucleotide ribosomal RNA is filed under the name Blastocystis hominis. RNAcentral describes it as "bacterial SSU rRNA". It matches the Rfam family "Eukaryotic small subunit ribosomal RNA", at positions 510 to 1016 of the family's 1831-position model. Lineage: Eukaryota; Bigyra; Opalinata; Blastocystidae. The record is from RNAcentral.
UGGAUUGAGACACGUACAAACCUUAUCGAUAAACAAUUGGAGGGCAAGUCUGGUGCCAGCAGCCGCGGUAAUUCCAGCUCCAAUAGCGUAUAUUAACGUUGUUGCAGUUAAAAAGCUCGUAGUUGAAAUGAAGGGUAGUUGUGUAAUGAAUACAUUCGUGUAUUUUGUUAUUCUACUACCCUCCUUCUAAAUUCGAUAUAUGAGUAUUAAUUUACUUGUAUAUGGUUUUAGACGUUUACUGUGAGAAAAUUAGAGUGUUCAAAGCAGGCAUUUGCUUGAAUAUAUUAGCAUGGAAUAAUCAUGUAUGAUUUUCAUGAUGUAUUUGAUUGGUUUGGUUCAUGAGAAUAAGAUUAAAAGGGACAGUUGGGGGUAUUCAUAUUCAAUAGUCAGAGGUGAAAUUCUCGGAUUUAUGGAAGAUGAACAAGUGCGAAAGCAUUUACCAAGGAUGUUUUCAUUAAUCAAGAACGAAAGUUAGGGGAUCGAAGAGGAUUAGAUACC